CACUUUGUUAUCAGUGUAUUGGGAGCUUGAUAAAGACCAUUAGGUUGAAACGUUGCUGCACUAGGUGUAAUAAAGAAAUUGAUUGGAUCCCUUUGGAGUGCCGUGGCUUAUUCUACACAUUCUUUGGCUACUACGGGAAUCCUAGGACCAGGAUUCAACGCUACAGGCACCACCACGUAUCAGAUCAGCUAUAAUAA
Long non-coding RNA from Bufo bufo (common toad), 197 nucleotides. RefSeq lists it as uncharacterized. The transcript is spliced from 3 exons. Lineage: Eukaryota; Metazoa; Chordata; Amphibia; Anura; Bufonidae. The record is from RefSeq and is a predicted model, not a curated record.